RNAcentral lists this transfer RNA (67 nucleotides) under Panesthia sp. Salganea. RNAcentral's name for it is "tRNA-Cys". RNAcentral also lists the same sequence under 1 other name. Lineage: Eukaryota; Metazoa; Arthropoda; Insecta; Blattodea; Blaberidae. The record is from RNAcentral.
AGUCUUAUAUUCAAUGAAUGAUAAUAGAAUGCAAUUCUAUAGGAGUAAAUUAGGUUUACUAAGACUU